Hippopotamus amphibius kiboko is the source of this 1447-nucleotide long non-coding RNA. RefSeq lists it as uncharacterized. NCBI's taxonomy places the organism in Eukaryota, Metazoa, Chordata, Mammalia, Artiodactyla, Hippopotamidae. The transcript has 3 exons. The record is from RefSeq and is a predicted model, not a curated record.
UCUGAACGAGCCGCUUGUGAGGAGUGUGGGUUGGAUGAGGUACUUCACCUCUGGGAGACCCAUUUCCACUUCAUAGAUAAUACAAGGGAUGCUGGACCCUGUCGUUUCGCCCUUACAGGGUUUUACAAACUGAUUUCCACACCAGCCAAGGCGGACAGCCGCUGGCAAGUGGAAGCUGGGAUUUAACAUUAUGAGCAGGAGGGCACUGGCCGCAGACCCACCACCUGGGUUUGGAUCUUGACUCUGCCCUUCACUCCCUGCAGGUACCCGGACAAUUGUCUUGGCAUGUUAUCUGUAAUAUCUCCUUUGGAGGGUUAUUCCAUGUUAAAAAAAAAUUCUUCAUAUCCUGCAAAUGAGUGGAUUGAGAAAUAUAACCUCAAGUCAGUCAAGAUGUGUGAAGACUUGAGUGACUCCUGAACUCCUCUGACUGCAGCUUCCAGCAACAGCAAAGGAAGACCCUGGAAGGAUGCAAGUCUGGACCCCUGUGAAAUCUGAGCCGUCUUCCUUGAACAGUCAGCUGUUCAAUCCCUUGCCUUCAGGUCAGAUCAUACUUGAAUCAUCAGACCCUGUGGUCCUUCAACACACACACACACACACACACACGUGCGCACACAUGCCCACGCAUACACGCACGCACGCACACACAGAAAACACACACUUGUAUGAGAUGUUAUGCAUCCUCUCCCCUAAACUCACAGCAAUUAGGAGCUGAAUUCCCCAGUCUGCUGAGCUGGACUUAGAGAACUAGCAAAAGGGACUCUUGAGAAGAAAAAAGGAAUUCCACACUGGUGAGAUUAUGGCUGCAGUGAGGUGGUUUCAUGGAGACGCACUGCUUUAGAAAGGGACGGGUCCUGAUGCUCCCAGAGGGGAGCUGGGUGCAGUGCUGGGGAAGGGGUCCAGGCGCCUUGGAGACAGGAGCUGGCCCUGGGACUGGGGAUGGGCCUCCUGAGCAUCUCCACCUGUGCUCUCACUCCCACCGCCCGGGGCCCUGCAGUAGCUCUGUUCCCCACCAUCUCUGAAAACCAUCCCCUCCGAUGCUAACUUCAAAGCCCCCUGGGAAAGCCAAGUUGCCAGUGAAGCCUCUUUGAGGCAGGUUCUCAUUCCUUCCCCCACUAAUUGAAAUGUUACUCCUUUUGCUAAACCGCUAAACCACCCAAACACAACGGUCUUCCUCAUUUGCAUUGUAACAACGUCCCUAAUGUGCUUCCAAGAGCUUUCCGUGAAGGGGACCUUCUCUCCUCUCCCCGUAUGCACGGUAUGAACCGGUCAAAAGCAAUUCGAGGCAAAGGCCUUCAUUUCCAUCCCUAUACAGCUGCUCAUUAGCUAAGGUGGAAGAAAUUCCUUUUAUUCUGGAUUCAAUUCCCAGGAUGAUAAUGUCUUUUUUGUCUCAGGCCACUGUUCCCAAACUAGGCCUUAAUUGCUGAUAGUAAUUGAGUUAAUACAUAUU